UGCCAGCCGCCGCGGUAAUACGGAGGGGGCAAGCGUUAUUCGGAAUUACUGGGCGUAAAGGGCGUGUAGGCGGCCUGACAAGUCAAAGGUGAAAGCCCUCGGCUCAACCCCGGAACUGCCUCUAAUACUGCUAGUCUUGAGUUCGAGAGAGGUGAGUGGAAUUCCGAGUGUAGAGGUGAAAUUCGUAGAUAUUCGGAGGAACACCAGUGGCGAAGGCGGCUCACUGGCUCGGUACUGACGCUGAGAUGCGAAAGCGUGGGGAGCAAACAGGAUUAGAUA
Molecule: ribosomal RNA, 279 nt
Filed under: uncultured bacterium
Lineage: Bacteria
Description: partial 16S ribosomal RNA
Rfam family: Bacterial small subunit ribosomal RNA
Source: RNAcentral